AGUGAACGCUGGCGGUAGGCCUAACACAUGCAAGUCGAACGGCAGCACAGUAAGAGCUUGCUCUUACGGGUGGCGAGUGGCGGACGGGUGAGGAAUACAUCGGAAUCUACUUUUUCGUGGGGGAUAACGUAGGGAAACUUACGCUAAUACCGCAUACGACCUACGGGUGAAAGCAGGGGAUCUUCGGACCUUGCGCGAUUGAAUGAGCCGAUGUCGGAUUAGCUAGUUGGCGGGGUAAAGGCCCACCAAGGCGACGAUCCGUAGCUGGUCUGAGAGGAUGAUCGGCCACAGUGGAGCUAGAACGCGGCCCAAACCACUACGGGAGGCAGCGGUGGGGAAUGUUGAACAAUGGGCGAAAGCCUGACGAAGCCAAGCGGCGUGAGUGAAGAAGGCUUUCGGGUGGUAAAGCCUUUUUUUGGGGAAAGAAAAGAUGCAGAAUAAACCCGCCGUGUCUUGACGGUACCAAAUAAAAAAGCACCGGCAAACUACGGC
RNAcentral lists this ribosomal RNA (492 nucleotides) under uncultured bacterium. RNAcentral's name for it is "partial 16S ribosomal RNA". It matches the Rfam family "Bacterial small subunit ribosomal RNA", at positions 29 to 508 of the family's 1533-position model. The record is from RNAcentral.